RNAcentral lists this transfer RNA (110 nucleotides) under Felis catus (domestic cat). It matches the Rfam family "tRNA". From Rfam's summary of the family: Transfer RNA (tRNA) molecules are approximately 80 nucleotides in length. Their secondary structure includes four short double-helical elements and three loops (D, anti-codon, and T loops). RNAcentral also lists the same sequence under 3 other names. Lineage: Eukaryota; Metazoa; Chordata; Mammalia; Carnivora; Felidae. The record is from Rfam by way of RNAcentral.
ACCUGGAUGGCUCAGUUGGUUGAGCAUCUGACUUCUGCUCAGGUCAUGAUCUUACAGUUUGGCUCAGGUCAUAAUUUCACAGUUUGCGAGUUUGAGCCCCGCUUUGGGCU